Molecule: ribosomal RNA, 465 nt
Filed under: uncultured bacterium
Lineage: Bacteria
Description: partial 16S ribosomal RNA
Rfam family: Bacterial small subunit ribosomal RNA
Source: RNAcentral
AUGAACGCUGGCGGCGUGCUUAACCCAUGCAAGUCGAACGAUGAAGCCCAGCUUGCUGGGUGGAUUAGUGGCGAACGGGUGAGUAACACGUGAGUAACCUGCCCUUAACUCUGGGAUAAGCCUGGGAAACUGGGUCUAAUACCGGAUAGGAGCGUCCACCGCAUGGUGGGUGUUGGAAAGAUUUAUCGGUUUUGGAUGGACUCGCGGCCUAUCAGCUUGUUGGUGAGGUAAUGGCUCACCAAGGCGACGACGGGUAGCCGGCCUGAGAGGGUGACCGGCCACACUGGGACUGAGACACGGCCCAGACUCCUACGGGAGGCAGCAGUGGGGAAUAUUGCACAAUGGGCGCAAGCCUGAUGCAGCGACGCCGCGUGAGGGAUGACGGCCUUCGGGUUGUAAACCUCUUUCAGUAGGGAAGAAGCGAAAGUGACGGUACCUGCAGAAGAAGCACCGGCUAACUACGUG